UACGGAGGAUGCAAGCGUUAUCCGGAUUCAUUGGGUUUAAAGGGUGCGUAGGCGGACUAUUAAGUCAGUGGUGAAAGCCUGCAGCUUAACUGCAGAACUGCCAUUGAUACUGAUAGUCUUGAGUUUGGUUAAGGUAGGCGGAAUGUGUAAUGUAGCGGUGAAAUGAUUAGAUAUCACACAGAACACCAAUUGCGUAGGCAGCUUACUGAGCCGACACUGACGCUGAGGCACGAAAGCGUGGGGAUCGAACA
Molecule: ribosomal RNA, 251 nt
Filed under: uncultured prokaryote
Description: partial 16S ribosomal RNA
Rfam family: Bacterial small subunit ribosomal RNA
Source: RNAcentral